UACGUAGGGUGCAAGCGUUAAUCGGAAUUACUGGGCGUAAAGCGUGCGCAGGCGGUUUUGGAAGUCUGUCGUGAAAUCCCCGGGCUUAACCUGGGAAUGGCGAUGGAGACUGCAAGGCUAGAGUUUGGCAGAGGGGGGUAGAAUUCCACGUGUAGCAGUGAAAUGCGUAGAGAUGUGGAGGAACACCGAUGGCGAAGGCAGCCCCCUGGGUCAAGACUGACGCUCAUGCACGAAAGCGUGGGGAGCAAACAGG
Molecule: ribosomal RNA, 253 nt
Filed under: uncultured bacterium
Lineage: Bacteria
Description: partial 16S ribosomal RNA
Rfam family: Bacterial small subunit ribosomal RNA
Source: RNAcentral